RNAcentral lists this ribosomal RNA (638 nucleotides) under uncultured archaeon. Its description in RNAcentral is "bacterial SSU rRNA". It matches the Rfam family "Archaeal small subunit ribosomal RNA", at positions 74 to 715 of the family's 1478-position model. The record is from RNAcentral.
AUACGUGGCACACGGCUCAGUAACACGUAGUCAACAUAACCAAAGGACGUGGAUAAACUCGGGAAACUGAGGCUAAACCGCGAUAGAUCAAGAUACCUGGAAUGGUUUUUGAUCAAAAUCUAUAUGGCCUUUGGAUUGGACUGCGUCCGAUCAGGCUGUUGGUGAGGUAAUGGCCCACCAAACCUGUAACCGGUACGGGCUCUGAGAGGAGGAGCCCGGAGAUGGGUACUGAGAAAAGGACCCAGGCCCUAUGGGGCGCAGCAGGCGCGAAACCUCUGCAAUAGGCGAAAGCCUGACAGGGUUACUCUGAGUGACUUUCGCUAAGAAAGUCUUUUGACACCUCUAAAAAUGGUGUAGAAUAAGGGGUGGGCAAGUCUGGUGUCAGCCGCCGCGGUAAUACCAGCACCCCGAGUGGUCGGGACGAUUAUUGGGCCUAAAGCAUCCGUAGCCGGUUUUACAAGUCCUCCGUUAAAUCCAGCUGCUUAACAGAUGGGCUGCGGAGGAUACUAUAAGACUAGGAGGCAGGAGAGGCAAGCGGUACUCAGUGGGUAGGGGUAAAAUCCGUUGAUCCAUUGAAGACCACCAGUGGCGAAGGCGGCUUGCCAGAAUGCGCUCGACGGUGAGGGAUGAAAGCUGGG